This 468-nucleotide ribosomal RNA is filed under the name uncultured bacterium. Its description in RNAcentral is "partial 16S ribosomal RNA". It matches the Rfam family "Bacterial small subunit ribosomal RNA", at positions 28 to 507 of the family's 1533-position model. The record is from RNAcentral.
GACGAACGCUGGCGGCGUGCUUAACACAUGCAAGUCGAACGGAAAGGCCCUGCUUUUGUGGGGUGCUCGAGUGGCGAACGGGUGAGUAACACGUGAGUAACCUGCCCUUGACUUUGGGAUAACUUCAGGAAACUGGGGCUAAUACCGGAUAGGAGCUCCUGCUGCAUGGUGGGGGUUGGAAAGUUUCGGCGGUUGGGGAUGGACUCGCGGCUUAUCAGCUUGUUGGUGGGGUAGUGGCUUACCAAGGCUUUGACGGGUAGCCGGCCUGAGAGGGUGACCGGCCACAUUGGGACUGAGAUACGACCCAGACUCCUACCGGAGGCAGCAGUGUAGAAUAUUUCACAAUGGGCGGAAGCCUGAUGCAGCAACGCCGCGUGCGGGAUGACGGCCUUCGGGUUGUAAACCGCUUUCGCCUGUGACGAAGCGUGAGUGACGGUAAUGGGUAAAGAAGCACCGGCUAACUACGUG